Molecule: regulatory RNA element, 91 nt
Organism: Paenibacillus sp. FSL H7-0737
Lineage: Bacteria; Bacillati; Bacillota; Bacilli; Caryophanales; Paenibacillaceae
Rfam family: c-di-GMP-I riboswitch aptamer
About the family: GEMM was predicted in a large-scale screen for bacterial structured RNA regulatory elements. Genes associated with GEMM are involved in a diverse array of functions, including chemotaxis regulation, signal transduction, secretion and chitin.
Source: Rfam
UCAUGAUAAUAGCAAACCGCCUGAAAGGGUGGGACGCAAAGUCCAGGAGUCUAAAGUGUCUUAAAUGCGCUAUGACCGUCCGACUGCCAUG